UACAGAGGGUGCGAGCGUUAAUCGGAAUUACUGGGCGUAAAGCGCGCGUAGGCGGCUUUGUAAGUCGGUUGUGAAAUCCCCGGGCUCAACCUGGGAACUGCAUCCGAGACUGCAUAGCUAGAGUAUGGGAGAGGGAAGUGGAAUUUCAGGUGUAGCGGUGAAAUGCGUAGAUAUCUGAAGGAACAUCGGUGGCGAAGGCGGCAUCCUGGACCAUUACUGACACCGAAAAGCGAAAGCCAGGGGAGCAAACGGG
This 253-nucleotide ribosomal RNA is filed under the name uncultured bacterium. RNAcentral describes it as "partial 16S ribosomal RNA". It matches the Rfam family "Bacterial small subunit ribosomal RNA", at positions 524 to 776 of the family's 1533-position model. The record is from RNAcentral.